GAGCGGAAGUCAGCUGCACACGUACUCAAACUGGAACCAUACAGAGAAGAUUAGCAUGGCCCCUGCCCAAGGAUGGCACGCAUAUUCGUGAAGCGUUCCGUAUUUUU
Molecule: small nuclear RNA, 107 nt
Organism: Nannospalax galili (Upper Galilee mountains blind mole rat)
Lineage: Eukaryota; Metazoa; Chordata; Mammalia; Rodentia; Spalacidae
Source: Ensembl